UCACAGUCCAGAGGCGCAGGCUCACUAGGGGACGGAGCGCACCCUAGGACGGCAGGGUGUCUCCCCGCUCCCCGCACCUGCCCUCCGCCUUACCAGAGGCCUGCUUCCAGCAGUUCCUUUUACCCGAGUAUCUCGGAACCAAGGACACACAGAGACUCAGAGAGGAGGAUGCAGCCUGCACAUGGUGUUUUUCACAGUUAUUUGGCCAUUCAGCUUCCCUCUGGCCUCCGCCAAGAGUGACUCAGAUAUUCUGCAGCAAUACUCCUCAGAGCAUAUUUUGUUUCUCCGUCAUCAAGUGAGGCUUUUCAGUUCCCGUAACUUCCGAGUCGACUCCAAGAAGCUUUUCCAGUUAAGGUUAUGGAACCCCAGGGAGCUGCACAUUUCCGAGUCCGCCUGGCUCUGCACGGCUAUUCUGUGAGUCAGAUCAUGGAAUCGGGGAAUCUGAGAGCUGGAAGGGGCCUUCGAGAUUGUUCUGCGCAAGCCCCUCAGUUUCUGGAUGGGGAGCCAGCACUGUCGGCCAAGACCACACUGCUUUUUCGUGGGGAACCAGGGCGGGGAUCCGUGGUCCGGCCCCGGACCAGGGCGCCUCCCUCUGCACCAGGUUGUCAGUCUCUCUUUAGGAACUUCGGGAAACUCAGCAGAAGGUGUCUUUCCUCUGGGUAGCAGGCUGUGCUGGAAAACCAGGGAGCUCGGCUGCCUCUGUGCCAGUUGUCAGGACCACCCAGUCACUCAGGCUACCGCAUCACUUUCCAGUGACAUUCAUCAUCAGGACGUCCAAUCAGAGGCUCUAGGGAGUGAGGCAGAGAUGGAGAAGGUUGUUGCAGGAAUUCCUAAAGAAGAAAAAGAAUUCCUCUACGGGGAGGGGCCGUUCCCAAGUCAUCACCAUGUUCUUGUCUCUGGGCAGUACUGGAGCCAAAUGUGCUUAUUGCUGGAAACAUCAGGGGUAGCGAUGCGUCAUUAAUAAGAUCAUAAUAGUCAUGUUAGCAGAAGUUUGAUGGCAACCUGACCUUGCCUGAGCGUUCUCAAAAGACACCCGAGUUUUUCCAGUUCUGGGUCUGACACUGGGACGGUGAUUUCUCUUUCCUGAGCGUCAGGCUUGCCGUGUUCAGUGUGCAGGUUCUGCUGCUGGCUUCCAGGAGAGGAGCAGCUUAAGGAGAUGACAGAACUUGGACCAGAGUCGACAUCUCCUGUACGAAAAAUAAAUUGGCUUCGAGGUUGUACCUGACAGACUAAUAGAAUCACGCCUUCUCUCCCUCCC
Molecule: non-coding RNA, 1258 nt
Organism: Vicugna pacos (alpaca)
Lineage: Eukaryota; Metazoa; Chordata; Mammalia; Artiodactyla; Camelidae
Source: RefSeq, a predicted model, not a curated record